CCUGAUGCCAGCUUUGCUGGUAAUGUAGGCCACCGAAGCAAAUCCAGAGAGAUUGAGUUGGAAGUGGAGAGAGGCUCUGAGAUCUAUUUCCUUGGCUUCCUGACGACGGGGGUGUGUGUGCGCGUACGUGUAACUUCUUUUUUUCUUUUCCACUGUAAACGGGAUAUCAUUUAAGAGGGAUCAUUAGCUGAGAGCAGCCCAGCUGGGUCAAGGCUGGGAGGCGGGGAUGCAGUUGCAAGCAGCGAAGCAAGGUGGAGGCACGAAGACAGAAGACCAGGUUAAUGAAAGCAUGAGGUGGCUCUCGGGCAGCAGCUGGAGAAAAUUUGGACACGCUGACAGGGGAAACUAUGACUGGCUAAAUAGUGAACCAGGUGGGCCGCUUCUGGAAACAGAGCUUCAGAGCAGACAGCAGACAAGUUCAACCAAAGACGACAUAGAACCAUUUCUGUGCAUCAUAUUGCCUGCCACCAUGAUGCUCUUCCUGGCAUUCCUGCUGCUCUUCCUGUACCGUCGUUGCCAGCGCCCUGCUCCACAGGGACAAGUCUUCAGCAUCGACCUCCCUGAGGCCCUGCCCGAGCACGAUGUGUCCAGUUUCCUUUCUGUGCUGCCCUGGAACAGUGAGCAGAGUUUUCAGUACUCCACUCUGCUCCCCGAUGCCACGUUCCUCACUGUGUGUUUGCCUCCAUCCUACGAGGAGGCCACCAUGAAGACUUCCAUGGACGAGGCUCACAUUGAGCUCUCUCCAGAUCCAGUGCCUCCUUACGAAGAGAGCACGCUGGAAUCCAACAGCGCCAAAUGAACUUCCUAUGGAAGCACUUUAGCUGAAGCAUGCAGCCCCUCGAGGCACAAAGGUGGAACUGCUAUGGCCUUUAAUAUUAGUGACAAGAUUCCAAAUGAGGCUCCAAACCAAUGAGUUAAUGAAGGAAGAAACUUGGAGUAACAGGGGAUGAGUGUCUUCACUUUAUCCUGGGAUUCUCUACCUUCCACUUGUGGCAAGCAUACACACAGAGUGUAGCACCAAACCUGUCCCAGACUGGUAACACGGGUAUUCCAGUUAAAGCACAGGAUUAAACUCAAGGACGGGUGGGAAUCUGUCCCUCUGCAAUCCCUCAGCUACAAGGUAAUAUAAAUUAUGUUAUAGAUUUACCACUCACAAAAAGGGCUUUUAGUGCACACCUAUUCCAGUUUAGCUUUUUCUUUUUUACGUGUUUAAUUGAGUUUCUGACAAGCCAAUUCAAUCCAUCUAUGUGUGUUAACAUCACAUCAUUCUGCAAUGCUCUGGAAUGAUCACAACAGCUUUCAGGAAAGUAAAUAAACAUAUAAACUCUACUAAAUUUCCA
Molecule: long non-coding RNA, 1340 nt
Filed under: Athene cunicularia (burrowing owl)
Lineage: Eukaryota; Metazoa; Chordata; Aves; Strigiformes; Strigidae
Description: lncRNA (ENSACUG00000005627.1)
Source: RNAcentral